GAGUUAACUUUUCUUCCUAGUAGCUGGUACAAUGCCGUGGUUUGGAUUGAGGAUGAGAAUAAUAUUGACAACACACUGAUGUUUUAGUUGUUGCUAAGUAGUGCUUACACUAAGUCAAGGACUUUUCUGCUUUGCACACCACCCCACCAGCGAAAAGACUGGGAAGCACAAGAGGCUGGAAGGAGACACAGCCAGAACAGCUGAUCCCAACUGACCAAAGGGAUUUCCAUACCAUGUGUUGUUGUGCUUAGUACAUGAACUAGGGGUAAAGCUGACUAGGGGCUGCUGUUUGCAAACUGACUGAGCACUGUUCGGCGGGUGAACCUUCCCAUGGAAGCAGCAAGUCAGAAAUUGGAGUUUGACAGCAAGCUGUCUCUGAUUUGCUUUCCUCAAGGAUUAUAAAAGGUGGAUAUGAUUCUGCAACACUUUGAAUUAUGCCCUCUUUAGGAACCUUCACUUCCACCUGCCACGUUAUAUUGCAGCAUGUAGAAUGUGAAAAUGAAUCUACACAGCUAUUGCUCCUUUUGUGCUGAGGAAAGCUUUUUUAUUUGCACAGCUCUAGCUAGAAUGGCACACUCUUUGCAGAAGCUAAACAUUGAAAAUAUUUCUUAACAUAAUUCUUAACAUAACACUUGUUUCUGCUGCUGUUUUUAAUAACUUUCAAAACAUUCCUCUAUUUAUUUAUUUCUGCUUCCCUUCUGUCAACUUAUGACUUGGAGGUACUCUGUGGGAAAUGAAGAUUUUCUGUGUGUCUCCUAGAAGGACAGUUUUUAUUAUAGCCACCUCAAUGAACGUAAAAUUAUUGAAAUAAAGAUGAAUUUUUAAAAGAUUAGGUGGAAUUUUUAAAUACAUUUUCUGAAGGUAUCAAGUAACUGCUAUUUCAAAAGAUUAUUCAAGUAAUAGUAAAUAACCUUUUUAAUGUCAUUAAAAAAAAAAGAAGAAAGAAGAAAAUACUAUACUGCAAUACAAAGAUCAAAGACAAUAAACCAUUCACUUACUCAGCACUGCUAAGUCUAUGGGUGGAGUAUGGCUUUCUGUUUCCAGCUUUACAUUUCAUUAAUCAUUAUGGAUCAACUGCAGGAUCCCAGAGAACAUCUAGAACUACCAAAGAGUGAAAAAAAUUUUAUUUUUUUACCAUUAAGUAGAAAAGAUUGAUCCCAGUCUUCAAAAUACGUAAGACUAUUAGAGAGUCAACCUUUAUGUUUAUCUAGAAAAAAUUACUAAUUUUCACCAAACUAUUAGGGAAAAAUUACUAGUAAAGUAUUUCCUUAACAAUUUUCAAAAGAUAGUUGGAAAAGGGGACAGCAAACAAUGCUGCAGAUGACAAUUUAAUUCAAAGAGGCUCAGCUAACACUCCAGUUUCUGAGAUAGGGCAAUACCAGGCUGUUUCAGCUCUAUAUAUCCAUAGUUUUAUAAAAAAACUCCAGGCAACUCCAAACUCCAUUAAACAUCAUUCAAAAACAAGUUGUAUAUGCUACUAAAUUAAUGCUACAUGAGACAAUACAAGAGAAAUAUUUUCUGUUCUGUAAGCAAGUACUGUUAUGCUCUAUCUGCUCCCUGGUGCAGAGGGACAAUAAAGUAGCAAUAGCUUUGUUUUCAUAUCUUCAGAAUAAUAUUUGUGAUUAGUGCUUUAAAAUGAAAAAGUGAGAAGAAGCUGUAGUAUUAAUUCCUUUAUUUAUAAUCCAUUCCAUUUUCCGCUUGCCUGAAGCAUGGGUAAUUUGAUAGGCAUCUUUUAAUUUGUAAUUAGUCUUCAGGAAGGACUGUUUUCUGAUGCUUUAAGCAAUGCACUAUUUAUUAAUUUGUGUUCUCUCACUUUAUCCAGUGUUUACGCACUAUGGACCAGAUUCAGUACCCACUGAGAUGUAAUUGUAAAUGAGUUCAGCAUUUAGCUCAUUUGGCUUUCUUAUAUUUUUGAACACAUAAAACAAGAUAAAUUAUAACUGGAUAUGUUUAGUUUACACCCUAUCUUCUCCGCCUGGCUUGCAGAUAAUUCUUACAGAAAGGAAAACAUCUACAGGAGUUAUUUUUUUGCUUCAUUGAUGUAGAAAGUAGUGGCAGCCACGUAUAGCUGUUGGCAGCAGGGGAAGCAUGGCUACAGCCAUAUUCACUGAGGCUCAUUUCAUCUAGAUAUAAGAAAGAAAUUUUUUACAGUGAGAACAAUCAGUCCUUAGAACCUCCCCAGUGAUGUCCUAGAGUCCCUGUCUCUGGAGGUUUUCAAGACAAGGUGCUAGAUACUCUUGUUUAGGCUCCCUUUCCCACAAAAAAAAAGUUGGACCAGAUGGUCCUUCAAGAUCCCUUCUAACUGUUUUAUGGUUCUAUUAAUAAAUAUGUUUUAAAAGAAAGGUGGUGAGAGAGAAAGGAAAAAGUGGUAUCAUAGAGGCAUAUUUCUUUUCAGCAGUAUUUUGUAAUGCUUUUUUUUCUAGGUUUCCUGUAUUUUUAUCCUCUUUCUCGCAAUAAAAGUGAUUUGAACAGUUCUUAUUUAUUGUUUUAGCUAAACGUAAAAUUAAAUUCUAAAAUCUUACUUUAUGCUAUAUGCUUCCUGUCUGUACUUUUAAGCCGUUGUUUGGUUUCCUCACUAUGAAUUGUCCCUGAACAUUCUGGAUUUCUUACAUUACAUUUUCAGCUACUUUUCUGAGUGUUCAGUCUGAAUGACCCCAUAGAAAGAUCUUGUAGACGGAUCUUGUACUUGGUAUUCUAAGACAUAUGUUUUGCUAUCUAUGGCUUUUUAAUGGUCUGUGGUUGAGAUUUCAACUAAACUGUUCAUUAUGUCAAAUACUGGAAACAAAAUGAGGUCAAGAUUACUUGGAUGGCAGUUGUAGGAAUAUAGCAGGAGAGAUGCAUUGUCAUGUGUGGUUUAGUCAUUUUUUUCUUUCCCAACUCAUGGGUGAAAUGCAAAAGUAGUUCCAGUGUUAGGUAGCAUAGGGAGAACUCUCAAACUAUUAUUUCCUAUUUACCAGCAAGACUUCUUUAUUGUACUUGUUGCAUACGGUACAGCUAUUAAUCAUGACUUUGCUUGUGUAGCACUGCCUUAUAAAAUGAGAACUUCAAUGUAUUGUUUUCCAGUAUAAUGCACUGUUAGAAAACGCACUAUUGUGAGUUCCACUAGAUAUUAAAUAACAGCCUGCAUAUCUUUAAGAACUUCAAGAGAGAAUUUAAUCAUCUCAAAAGUAUUGUAACUCUGAGAUAAGAGAUAACAUAAACUGUUAUGUUAUAUAUCUAUGUGUAAAUAGAACAAAGCUGAAAUAUCUGGUGAUAGAUAAGGAAAUUUGGAGUUAAGGUUUUAAGCAAUCAUUAUUUAAUGUUUUAAGCAAUCAUUAUUUAGUUAUUAUCUUCAUACAAGCUUCUUUAGCAGACAGUCAUUUACCACAGUGAAAUAUUUUUUGAAACUUGAUAGAUUUUAUAGAGAUUUCCUUGGUUUUAAACCCUGAAGGUGUUUUAAAUCAUCUUAUCCGACCUCCAGUAUGACACAGGUCAUUGCACU
This is a long non-coding RNA of Pseudopipra pipra, 3481 nucleotides long. RefSeq lists it as uncharacterized. The transcript has 4 exons. The record is from RefSeq and is a predicted model, not a curated record. Lineage: Eukaryota; Metazoa; Chordata; Aves; Passeriformes; Pipridae.